GACGAACGCUGGCGGCGUGCCUAAUACAUGCAAGUCGAACGAAGCUGUUUUAACUGGUGCUUGCACCGACUUAAACAACUGAGUGGCGAACGGGUGAGUAACACGUGGGUAACCUGCCCCAAAGCGGGGAUAACAUUUGGAAACAGAUGCUAAUACCGCAUAACCACAGAAACCACAUGGUUUCUGUGUCAAAGAUGGUUUCGGCUAUCACUUUGGGAUGGACCCGCGGCGUAUUAGCUAGUUGGUAAGGUAAUGGGUUACCAAGGAAAUGAUACGUAGCCGAACUGAGAGGUUGAUCGGCCCCAUUGGGACUGAGACACGGCCCAAACUCCUACGGGAGGCAGCAGUAGGGAAUCUUCCACAAUGGACGAAAGUCUGAUGGAGCAACGCCGCGUGAGUGAAGAAGGUUUUCGGAUCGUAAAACUCUGUUGUCAGAGAAGAACGUGUGCGAGAGUAACUGUUCGUGCAGUGACGGUAUCUGGCCAGAAAGCCACGGCUAACUACGUGCCAGCAGCCGCCGCUG
RNAcentral lists this ribosomal RNA (523 nucleotides) under uncultured bacterium. Its description in RNAcentral is "partial 16S ribosomal RNA". It matches the Rfam family "Bacterial small subunit ribosomal RNA", at positions 28 to 523 of the family's 1533-position model. The record is from RNAcentral.